Long non-coding RNA from Pan troglodytes (chimpanzee), 2966 nucleotides. RefSeq lists it as uncharacterized. The record is from RefSeq and is a predicted model, not a curated record. The transcript has 2 exons. NCBI's taxonomy places the organism in Eukaryota, Metazoa, Chordata, Mammalia, Primates, Hominidae.
GCCCCCAGCUUUUCCCGUCCGCUGCGGCAGCGCCGAUUCCGGACUUACCCGAGAGGCGGAUACCCCCGUCCCAGGAGCCGUGGGGUGGCGCGGCACACCCGGCUACGGUCCGGGGAGAGAAGUCCAGUCCAGCCCGCCCCGCGCCCGUACGGACAACACCCGUCCACCCACUGAUGCCGGGGCCCCGCAACUCUGCAGAGCCCCGGGGCUGUCAAUUCGAGAAGCACCACGCCAGCAUGUCCCCGUGACAACACGAGCGGGGGCGAGGGGCACCGAGGCGGAGACUGCCCUUAACCUAGUCGCAACCUCCGUCCACCCCACCAGCAUCUAUCUGUCCAUCGCGGGCGCCAGCUCCCCCCGGGGCUGGGGCUGAGGGCAGCACCCUGGUCGCUCCAGCGGAUGAGGAGCAGGCAGCACCGAGGCACUCGCAUGGUACCAACCCCCUCAAAGCCCACAGUCCCCACCACGAACAAAGAAACCCACGGCGGCCCUGGGCGGGUCCACUCACCGUGCCGGAGACGCGCCUCCACCCGCCCGCGGCCUCGCGGUCCGCAGGGACUGGGCGCAGCGGGGGCUUCCAAACCUGUCUCGCAGGUCGGGGACCCACCGCCUCAGCGGUGCCCCCGGUCCGGCAUCCGACCCUUCCUCCCAGGCACCGCCGCCUCGGCCUCACAGCCCCGGCUCCAUCCCGCUCCCCGCGCGCCCACCCUCCGCCGCGGCGCAACGCCGGCCGCGGAAGACCAGCCUACCGCCGCACCCCCGCCGCCUCAGCGGAAGCCUCCCCGAGCCCCUUGUUUUUGUUAAGAGUUUCGACGCCCCCAAGGGGGCGGGGCACGUGACUCCCCGCGGAGGGAUCCUGCACUUCCUCCACGGACUUUAAAAAAGAGUCCCGCCCCUAAGCCGCCGUCUCGAGCCUCUCUCGCGGCCUCCCUAGCUCUCCUCGGCUUUGCCGAGCCAGUCCUCCCGCCUGGCGCUAGGGCGGAGAGCGGAAUCUGGGCGUCGGGCUUAUUCCGCGAUUGAUCUGCGUUGGGGAACGGGGGAAGACAGAGGGGCGGAAGGAGAUCGUUUCUGGUCUCAUUACGCCUUUUAAAGGUCCCCGAUUUGUUUUGUUUUAGCUGUUUUGAAAAGUCCGCCCAAAGUAGCCGGCUCUCUGAUUGGAUGCGGGUGGGGCGAUGGGAAUGCUGAGGACCUGAUUCACCCUCGAAUCUGGAUUGGCUAACUUAUCAGUCUUGGAGCCCUCUGAUUGGCUUUCUCCGUAGCCUGAGCCUCUCUCUGCCUUGGGGCCUUAGCAACUCCAGGGUCUGGAUUGCGCAUGCCUGGGUGGGCAGCGGGGAAGGUAUUCAGUUACCUGCCCUGCGGGGCUGUGCCUUCUCGCCUGGCUGCCUCCGCCCUUCUCGGGGGAAUGUCACGCUCGCGGCGCUUCUCCUAACAGCUAACCUUUGUGACAGCCUUUUCAGCCACGGGAGAGUUUUCUACAUUCCUUCUUUAUUUUGUCUUGCCGUUCCAUUUUGCAAUAACCCACCAAAUUAUUAUAACAUUGUCGGGGCGUUUACUAAAAUAUUCAAUAAAUGCUACAAGUUUGGGUAUUUGCUUUAAAAUGUUCCAGUCCAAGAGAAAAAAAAAAUGGAGAAGAGAGGUGAAAUAAGAUAGGCAAAAAGUUGAGGGUCGAAGCUGGGUGAUGGGUACUCGAGGCUGCAUUACAGUAUUCUUUCUACUUCUGUGUCUUGGAAUUUUUCCAUAAUUUAAAAAAAUUCAGGAGGGACUGAAGGAGGGGGCUUUUCAAUAAAAACUUAGCACGCUGAUGAGGGUACGUAAACAUCUAAUAAUUACGGCGUACCUCCAGAGGUUGUAGUGCUGUUGUUUUAAUGAAGACUCCCAGAGCUUCUUGGUCCUUGGUAACCCAUAAAUUAUCAUUUAUUGUUCAUUAUAAUUAGCGUUGUUAUUAUAGGCGACACCUCUCCCAGGACGGGACAAAAAGCAAACCAACCAGGUGCCUUAGGCCAGAGACACUUUCACACGGAAUAUCAAUGGGGGAUGUGGUUGACUGCCCUGGAACAUUUAUUUGUUUACUCUCUCCCUCCUAAAUUAGAAAAUACCAUAUUCGUGAGUUCUAAUCUACAUAAUCAGAUAGUCCCUGGGAAGAGAUUUCUCCUUUCUGUUCUUCUAUGUGUUUUCUGUGAAUUAUUUUGUUACUUGUGAAAUAUGGGAAGGCACACAACUAGCUUUGGCAGCGCUCUUCUUUGCGGAGCAGCUAAGGAAUUUUAAAACUAGGUCCCUUUGCAUAUUAGCUCGGACUAAACACAGGCAUCUGUUUGGAGCACAGAGCAACUGGGGGAAGGCAGCCCAAAAAGCUAACACUUAUUUCAGAGAGGUGUGAGCUUGGUGAGGGUUUUGGAAAAUAAGAUAAAAUUAGCACACCAGUUUUAAAUGAUUUACAGGCUACAUAAUUUUAUCCAAUGCUUGUUUUAUCUUUUAAACAUUAAGUGAUAACUUUUAUUUGACAUAAUCAUCUUGCUGGAAAUCUAUGCUGAUAAACAUAAUAGGAACAUGAAACUAACUUAGAGACUAGAGCUAAGAUUAAAAUUACAGAGAUGACAGCUCAUUGUACAGAGCAUCAAAAGGCUGAGUGGACAGGGCCCACAGACAGAAAGCAGCUCGACCAACUAUCCACCAUCAGAGAAAUGAAGAGUUUGUGAUCAAAGCAUGAAGGAGACUGGGGAUGUUUUUUUCAAGUAAGAAGGCAAAGACAGCCUCUUGAAUGAUGUGAACAGUGAUGGCUUUCUCUGAGAGUAAGACAAGAAAGCUUUGUAAAUGGCGUUGAAUUUCCUGCUCUUGGCAGGCCCUGCUCAGCACAGAAGAAAAGACUGAUCAGAUUGUCCAAGAUAGAGCCCUUUAUCCACAUUAGUCCACUUAUCUCUUUAAGAUUAAAGGAAAGCAAUCAUUAAAAAUACAGAUCCAGUAAUUAU